UAUUAUUAUUAUUAUUAUUAUUAUUAUUAUUAUUAUUAUUAUUAUUAUUAUUAUUAUAUAGUAGGCAGGCAUGUAGUGUAUGAUCCUCUGGAAACCACUUCCUCCAUUUUAUCUGGUGGCUGCCCAGGGUGAGGUGCACAAAAUAAGACAGUAGAUACACUAAAGAAAAGAACAACUCACCCUUGCUGCACUGGAUAGAGGACACCUGGAUACUGUAGAUUUAUACCUACAAAAUGCUGCUGUAAUCAUCAUCACUGCAGUCAUCACUUCACCUGUGUGCUGUAAUAAGUUAUAAUCACACUAUCCGGUGUCACCCACAAGAGGAUGGGUUCCCUACUGAGUCUGGUUCCUCUCAAGGUUUCCUCCUCAUGUCACCUCAGGGAGGUUUUCCUUGCCAUCGUUGCCUUAAAAGCUUGCUCACUAGGGAUCUAAAUCUACAUCCAGGUUUCUGUAACAAAAUAUCUACUGAACAAGAACAAUAAAAUGAAACGUUGAAAUGAA
Long non-coding RNA from Ictalurus furcatus (blue catfish), 501 nucleotides. RefSeq lists it as uncharacterized. The transcript is spliced from 2 exons. The record is from RefSeq and is a predicted model, not a curated record. Lineage: Eukaryota; Metazoa; Chordata; Actinopteri; Siluriformes; Ictaluridae.